CCCGGGGCCGGCAGGAAUCUCUCUUCCCCAGGGAUGCCAAGCGCGACUUCGCCGUCGCGACCGUAAGCUGGAGAGAAAGAAAGUUGGUAUACACAAAGAGAUGUGCAUGCACAUGAAAACACAGAGCCCAUCUGCUAGAAUAGACUUGAUGGUUUCACAGAAAUGAGACACAGAGAAGAGGAAUUAUUUGUGGAAUGCAUCAUCAGCCAAGUCUCAACACACACACUGGAAAGAAUUGGCGUAGGCUCACCUGGUUUUGCAUGCAGAGGAGUCUUGAAGUGUAGGAGUUUGGACUGGUUUUUCUUUUUAAUUCUUUUCAUUAAUGCUACAAAACAACAGAUGCAAAUUUCCCAUUGCCUGCUUGCUUUUCACAUUUCUCAAAGUCAGAAUAACUAG
This 396-nucleotide long non-coding RNA is filed under the name Zonotrichia albicollis (white-throated sparrow). RNAcentral describes it as "lncRNA (ENSZALG00000017161.1)". Lineage: Eukaryota; Metazoa; Chordata; Aves; Passeriformes; Passerellidae. The record is from RNAcentral.